UGAAGUCGUAACAAGGUAACCGUAGGGGAAACUGCGGUUGGAUCGCCUCCUUACCAUAAAGAAGC
RNAcentral lists this ribosomal RNA (65 nucleotides) under Escherichia coli. RNAcentral describes it as "partial 16S ribosomal RNA". Lineage: Bacteria; Pseudomonadati; Pseudomonadota; Gammaproteobacteria; Enterobacterales; Enterobacteriaceae. The record is from RNAcentral.